ACGUCAAGUCAUCAUGGCCCUUAUGACCAGGGCUACACACGUGCUACAGUAGAAAAGACAAAAAGAUGCGAAAAUGUGAAUUAGAGCAAAACUUUAAACUUUUCUGUGUUCGGAUUGUAGGCUGCAACUCGCCUACAUGAAGUCGGAAUCACAAGUAAUCGUAAAUCAGGAACGUUACGGUGAAUUUGUACCUAGAUCUU
RNAcentral lists this ribosomal RNA (200 nucleotides) under uncultured organism. Its description in RNAcentral is "partial small subunit ribosomal RNA". It matches the Rfam family "Bacterial small subunit ribosomal RNA", at positions 1182 to 1382 of the family's 1533-position model. The record is from RNAcentral.